Molecule: ribosomal RNA, 338 nt
Filed under: uncultured bacterium
Lineage: Bacteria
Description: bacterial SSU rRNA
Rfam family: Bacterial small subunit ribosomal RNA
Source: RNAcentral
ACUCCUACGGGAGGCAGCAGUGGGGAAUAUUGCACAAUGGGGGAAACCCUGAUGCAGCCAUGCCGCGUGUGUGAAGAAGGCCUUCGGUUGUAAAGCACUUUCAGUAGGGAGGAAGGUAGUGUAGUUAACACCUGCAUAUUUGACGUUACCUACAGAAGAAGCACCGGCUAACUCCGUGCCAGCAGCCGCGGUAAUACGGAGGGGUGCGAGCGUUAAUCGGAAUUACUGGGCGUAAAGCGCAUGCAGGCGGCCUGUUAAGUCAGAUGUGAAAGCCCGGGGCUUAACCUCGGAAUUGCAUUUGAAACUGGCAGGCUAGAGUCUUGUAGAGGGGGUAGGAA